This 419-nucleotide ribosomal RNA is filed under the name uncultured bacterium. RNAcentral describes it as "partial 16S ribosomal RNA". It matches the Rfam family "Bacterial small subunit ribosomal RNA", at positions 356 to 791 of the family's 1533-position model. The record is from RNAcentral.
GGGGAAUAUUGGACAAUGGGGGCAACCCUGAUCCAGCAAUGCCGCGUGUGUGAAGAAGGUUUUCGGAUUGUAAAGCACUUUCGGCGGGGACGAUGAUGACGGUACCCGCAGAAGAAGCCCCGGCUAACUUCGUGCCAGCAGCCGCGGUAAUACGAAGGGGGCUAGCGUUGCUCGGAAUGACUGGGCGUAAAGGGCGUGUAGGCGGUUUGUACAGUCAGAUGUGAAAUCCCCGGGCUUAACCUGGGAGCUGCAUUUGAUACGUGCAGACUAGAGUGUGAGAGAGGGUUGUGGAAUUCCCAGUGUAGAGGUGAAAUUCGUAGAUAUUGGGAAGAACACCGGUGGCGAAGGCGGCAACCUGGCUCAUGACUGACGCUGAGGCGCGAAAGCGUGGGGGAGCAAACAGGAUUAGAUACCCUGGU